This 253-nucleotide ribosomal RNA is filed under the name uncultured bacterium. RNAcentral's name for it is "partial 16S ribosomal RNA". It matches the Rfam family "Bacterial small subunit ribosomal RNA", at positions 524 to 776 of the family's 1533-position model. The record is from RNAcentral.
UACGUAGGGUGCGAGCGUUAUCCGGAUUCACUGGGUUUAAAGGGUGCGUAGGUGGGCAGGUAAGUCAGUGGUGAAAUCUCCGGGCUUAACUCGGAAACUGCCAUUGAUACUAUCUGUCUUGAAUACCGUGGAGGUUAGCGGAAUAUGUCAUGUAGCGGUGAAAUGCUUAGAUAUGACAUAGAACACCAAUUGCGAAGGCAGCUGGCUACACGAAUAUUGACACUGAUGCACGAAAGCGUGGGGAUCAAACAGG